This 299-nucleotide long non-coding RNA is filed under the name Linum usitatissimum (flax). RNAcentral's name for it is "long non-coding RNA (LUSI_LNC000914)". The record is from RNAcentral. Lineage: Eukaryota; Viridiplantae; Streptophyta; Magnoliopsida; Malpighiales; Linaceae.
CUCUGACUUCAGUAUGCAGUAAAUCCACAGGCAUCUGAUAGUAGGACAUGCUAGAGGAUUGGCGUGUACUGUGUGCUUGAGAAAAUUCCUUGAACUUAAGAAAUUGUUUAGCUAUUGAUUAUUUGUCUGCUUUGAUUUGUGGUGGAAAUGUGUGCCUGGAAAGGGAGAAGGGGUCUCAGUCAUGUACUUUUCUGUUGAAAUGGAUAUGAGCGGUGUCGAGCAAUUCUUAGGAUGAUUGCUUCUUCCCACAUCCAAAUAUUUCGGAUGUUUCUUUUGCAGCGCCUAAUUAACAAAUAGUU